GCCUUCGUGGUGUAGUGGUCAGCACACUCGGCAUGUAUUCGAGAGUUCCGAGGUUCGAGUCCCGGCCAAGGCA
Molecule: transfer RNA, 73 nt
Filed under: Stegodyphus mimosarum
Lineage: Eukaryota; Metazoa; Arthropoda; Arachnida; Araneae; Eresidae
Rfam family: tRNA
About the family: Transfer RNA (tRNA) molecules are approximately 80 nucleotides in length.
Source: Rfam by way of RNAcentral